Molecule: ribosomal RNA, 326 nt
Filed under: uncultured eukaryote
Lineage: Eukaryota
Description: partial 18S ribosomal RNA
Rfam family: Eukaryotic small subunit ribosomal RNA
Source: RNAcentral
CCCUUAGAUGUUCUGGGCUGCACGCGCGCUACACUGAUGCGUUCAACGAGUUUAUGACCUUGCCCGAUAGGGUUGGGUAAUCUUUUUAAAUCGCAUCGUGAUGGGGAUAGAUUAUUGCAAUUAUUAAUCUUCAACGAGGAAUUCCUAGUAAGCGCGAGUCAUCAGCUCGUGCUGAUUACGUCCCUGCCCUUUGUACACGCCGCCCGUCGCUCCUACCGCUUGAGUGAUCCGGUGAAUAAUUCGGACUGCAGCAGUGUUCAGUUCCUGAACGUUGCAGCGGAAAGUUUAGUGAACCUUAUCACUUAGAGGAAGGAGAAGUCGUANCA